Molecule: long non-coding RNA, 4375 nt
Organism: Nilaparvata lugens (brown planthopper)
Lineage: Eukaryota; Metazoa; Arthropoda; Insecta; Hemiptera; Delphacidae
Exons: 3
Source: RefSeq, a predicted model, not a curated record
GAAGGAAUCUCAAGACUAAAAAAGGAUGUAGCUUUUGUAGACAAUUUUAUGUGUCGAUUUGCACGUAAUUGCAAUGGGAAUUUAUCGUUUAAACGCCAAAAAGGUGAAUGAAAAGUUCAUCUCUACGAAUGAUUGAGGAUGACGAAAUACAUAGGAUAUGCAAAAAAUUAUGGAUGGUAUUUAAGGGGAAACAUUUUAAGUUUUAAAUCAGAAAAGGUUGAAAUAGUGUACUAUUGUGUUGAGUGGAGCUUGGAUGGGAUAUGUUUCAGUUCGGGUGGAUAAUGGAGCAUGAAUCAUCAAUAUAAUCCAGAAUAGCUCAAGACUCGAAAAUCUGGAGUGACACACUCACACUACUUUUCUUGCUAUGAUAAUAUUUUGAAGCACAAUCAGCACGAAUCACUUUCGCUCCUAAAUAAUAAUAAAUACUUCUCAAAUUCUGAAGACGAAAGGAUCUGAAGAAUGUUCUACACUUCUGUGUAUGACUAUUAUUUUCAACUAGUAUAAUUAUUCCAAAGGAUCUGACAAAUGAUACGUCCUGAACUAUAUCCGACUUGGACUAUAUCCGUGUUAUGUGGGACACCAACGCGUCCGGGAUGGGAUAAUUUGAUGACGCUUGUGAGAUCGCUUUACGGCGAGUAAAAAAUGUAUUCAGAGGUGGCGGUCGUAAAUAGAUCAAAUUGUCCGGCCUGAGGAAGGUGCGUGAGCGUGAACAAGUGAAGUAUUUAAUACAUAGACUCGCUCAUAUCUUAUGUACGUGUAUUUAGAGUGUAUAUACGUAUAUAGAGCGGAGCGAACAUAAUGUACUGUAGUUUGAAUGUCAAUGUCAAUGUCGAGAAGAAAGAGGUCGAUGAAUGUUUGACGAUAAAGAUGACAUGAAGAAUGCGAGUGUGAACUACGAUAGGAAAUCCCAACAAGUGUUGGCUAUUGCUUCAUUCUUAAAGAGAUUUGAUUGAUUCAUAAACGAAUACCUGAACUAAAACGUUGAAUGGUCUUGCAGAGACUCUAAUAUUGCAGAGACUUUGUGUGCAAAUUAAUUAUUCUGAGAGCUUGGCAUUGAUAUUAAAAUCGUCAUAUAAACGAUCAUUUAGUAUGAAAAGUACAGUACAGUAGUUCAUAAAAAAAAUGUGUAUCGUAUAUAUUCAACUUAUAUUCUACUGCUAUACGGUCAUUUUUUAUUGUUGUUGAUUCAUGACAAGUUGAUUUUUACUGUCGUAGAAUACGAUACGCUCAAUAUUGAAAAUUGAAAUUAUUUGUAAAUUUUAAGUUUCAAAUUAUGAAAAUUGUCUAGACCUAUCACCGUCGUCAUGGAGGCAAUGACUCAUAGAAUCAUAGACAUGAGGAAAAACUCAAAACUAAAUGUAAUAGUAUUAUUUCUUCUCAAGAAAUUUUUAUUCAAACAGUGAAACAAAAUCACUUUUGUAGCAAUAAAGAUCUAAAAUAAUAACACAAGCAUUAUUUAUAGAAUUGUAUUCUGUUUUACAGAAUUAUGAUUUAGUAAUACCGCUGAUAUGAAAACUAUUUUUAAAAAUCAUAAAAUAGCAAUAUUGAGAUCUUUAUUCCUCUCAAAAUUCAAUUCAGCUCGGUUGAGAUGUGAGAUGAAGAGUUGAUUGUAUGAAAGAAUAAGAGAGCAACUCUAAUAUUAUUCUACUAUUAACCUUACAAUCAUAAUACGCUUCUACUAAUAAAAUAUAUUGGAACUGUUUCUAAGUCAGGAAUCACCAAAGCAACUGCCACACGAACUUUUUCAUUUUUACUUACUAUAUUAUGAAAUUGAUAAAAUAAUAAUAUGCUAUAACUGAAAUAAUAGUACCGUAUGUAAAUCUAGAAUAUCAAUUUGGUAGUAUAUCCUCAAAAGGGAAUACCCCUAAGGGAUAACUUCCGGGCAAGUUAGAUCAUGAAUAAUCAUUCCGACAACCUAGUGCCACAAUAUUUUUCAGAAUUCAAUGAUAUCCAUGAAUCCAUGUAUUGAAAACACAAUCCAGUGAUUGCUGGCCUACCAAUGUGAAACGCAGCACGCUUCUCUGGUCCAAUCAGCUCCAUGAUCAUCAUCACGCAAGGAUUGCCACAUUCCGCUGCUUCCGUCAACUUAUCAAACAUCCAAUGCCAAUAUUUCCGACAGAAUCGAACCGGUAGCCGACUCAUUUCAUCCAGUCCUCACUUAGAGCGUCCUAAUGAGAUUGCACAUAUCAGGCCAAUAUGGACAAGGGAUGAACUAUAAAUCAUCAUUAGAUGCAGUUUUUAACGCGAUUUAUUAUAGCGACUAACAAAUAACAAGCCUCCACGGUAUGCUGCUAAUGAGGUUACGGAAGAUCACUGCUUCUGAAUAAAUGAAGCUCAAUCUUUCCUGGAAAUAACUACUGUUAACGUGCUGCUGGAUUACUAAUUAUCGAAAAAAAUAUGUUAUUAUGACUGUUUUGGAACGGGAAUUGUGGAUCUAAUCGUAUACCCUCUAAGCAUCAACUCUUAUCCUUGAAAUUGAUAUUGUUCUAUCUAUAUGUAAGUCAGGUAUUUUGAAGUUUUGAGAUGGUACAAAAAUAAAUGUGUUGUUAUUGAAUUAUGAAAGACUGUAGGGCACUCAGCUUUUAAUCAUAGAAAAGUUGUAUCUGCAAGAUUUUACAAAAAUGUCCAAAGAUUUUUAAAAUCCACUUCCCGGAUAAAAGGAGAGAAAGAAGUUCAAGGCACCAUAGAAUAUGACACAUAAUUGAUGAUUCCCUAUCUGAUCUGGUCAUAUUAAGUGUGAUUUGGAUAUUUUUGCUGAGGAUGACUCCUACACAUGAGUCAUACAAACAAAGAAUAGUGUUCGAGUGCUAAUCGAUGGGGGGGGGGCUGAGAUAUUAUUAUUCAUAUCUCAUUUUCAUCAAUUGUAUUCAGUUUUCAAUCUCAUAGAGAACAAUUUCAUUCCAAUUCAUUAAUAUAGUUUUUGCAAAACCCCUUUAACAUACAAACAAGCUACUAUCAAUCCAAUUGAAAAAACAUUCUAUAUUUUUUAUAACUGGGGAGCAUCGAAACACACUACACUCAAAUUAAAUCAACAAUACUUAGGCUACUCUCCAUUGGACAGGUAAAUGCUUUUUGGCUUGUUGAUCAGUACUACUAAUAACUUUCAAUUAUUGUACAUGUACAAUAUUGUAAAUUGUAUAUCACGAAAAAAAUAUUUUCGAUAGUAUGAGAGACAGGUGAGAGUGUAUGAAAUUAGAUUUUGACUUUGUUAAAAUCCGAAUAUAAUAAUAUUAAACAAUAAUGUGCUUUGGGAAAGGUUUUUAAGAAUAAAAGAUAAAAAGUGGUGUUGAUGAUAAUAAUAGCAAUAGAUGAGCUAAGCCUGAAAGCUUUCCUGAUAGAAUAAAAAAAUAAUAGACUAAUCACACUUUUGUGGAGAAACUCAUAAGGGAAUAACAUUAUUUGUUCGAAAUAAACGAAAUACAGAUUUAGAUCUUGGAAAGAGGCGUGAUAAUUCUUCGAUCGUAGAUCCAGAUCAUUUCGACAUGCUUUUACUUUACCUAUAACUUGAGCCUAAUAACUGCAAUAGGCCUAAAUAUAAAAACGGCCAGUAUUUAAAGGAGUUCAAGUUUAACUUACCUACUCGAGAAAGGUCUACAUAACGUAAUCCUUCACAAGGAGUAAAGUUCAAUGCUAACGCAAUCCAAUGACCAACAUUUUUAAACGUUCAAUCGUGGAUUAAUUUAUUCCAGGAACUAGUACUACCGUACCGUACAUACUGUACUAUAGAUCAAGUAGAAGUUGAAGCACGCCGCUAAUAAAAAUGUAGACACUACCCUUUCUUUGAAGCAUUGUUGCUUUAUGUAAUAAUUGGAUAUUGAAAUGUAUAAUAUCACAUAUAAUAUGAGUGGAAAAGAAUAGUUCAUUCAUAAACAAACAGUGAUGAGGAUAAUGAUAGGCCUACAUUUUAAUAGCGAUUUGUCUUGUGUUCAACUCAGUCAUAAAAAUAGUUUGGAUUGAGCUUGGUUUGUAUUCAUUGUAGAUUGUAGGCCUACUCUGUAAAUGCUAUAAAAUUGAUUGCUGAGUUGUAGUAGCUAUGUUUCAAAGAGUUGUAGAAUGCCGUUCGUCCAGGAGUACGGUGAGGAAUCCAACACAAGAGCUUUGUUAUUUGAUGAGAGUAUAUUAAGGAUAAUUGUUUGCUCAAAUUGAGCUGAGUUUGAAGGAUGGGAAUUAUGUAAGGCUGGCCACUAAUGGAAGAACAUGUCCAUCAUGACACGAAAAAUAUUCGUAUGGUUGUUAUUCCUGAUCUUCAUAAACGAUCUUUUCUGGGGUAACUUUAAUGGAUCGCUUGUCUCAUUUGCAGAUGAUACUGCUUUUUCAUAUUGUGGUGCAAACAGUGAGAGUUUAUUGACCGAACGAAGUGAGGUCUAAGAUUCAA